Molecule: ribosomal RNA, 433 nt
Filed under: uncultured bacterium
Lineage: Bacteria
Description: partial 16S ribosomal RNA
Rfam family: Bacterial small subunit ribosomal RNA
Source: RNAcentral
AACGAACGCUGGCGGCAUGCCUAACACAUGCAAGUCGAACGAGACCUUCGGGUCUAGUGGCGCACGGGUGCGUAACGCAUGGGAACCUGCCCUUAGGUUCGGAAUAACUCCCCGAAAGGGGUGCUAAUACCGGAUAAUGUCUUCGGACCAAAGAUUUAUCGCCUUUGGAUGGGCCCGCGUUGGAUUAGCUAGUUGGUAGGGUAAAAGCCUACCAAGGCAACGAUCCAUAGCUGGUCUGAGAGGAUGAUCAGCCACACUGGGACUGAGACACGGCCCAGACUCCUACGGGAGGCAGCAGUGGGGAAUAUUGGACAAUGGGCGAAAGCCUGAUCCAGCAAUGCCGCGUGAGUGAUGAAGGCCUUAGGGUUGUAAAGCUCUUUUACCCGGGAUGAUAAUGACAGUACCGGGAGAAUAAGCUCCGGCUAACUCCGUG